CGGAAGUAGUUCAGUGGUAGAACAUCACCUUGCCAUGGUGGAGGUCGCGGGUUCGAAUCCCGUCUUCCG
RNAcentral lists this transfer RNA (69 nucleotides) under Limosilactobacillus vaginalis. It matches the Rfam family "tRNA". From Rfam's summary of the family: Transfer RNA (tRNA) molecules are approximately 80 nucleotides in length. Their secondary structure includes four short double-helical elements and three loops (D, anti-codon, and T loops). Further hydrogen bonds mediate the characteristic L-shaped molecular structure. tRNAs have two regions of fundamental functional importance: the anti-codon, which is responsible for specific mRNA codon recognition, and the 3' end, to which the tRNAs corresponding amino acid is attached (by aminoacyl-tRNA synthetases). tRNAs cope with the degeneracy of the genetic code in two manners: having more than one tRNA (with a specific anti-codon) for a particular amino acid; and 'wobble' base-pairing, i.e. permitting non-standard base-pairing at the 3rd anti-codon position. Lineage: Bacteria; Bacillati; Bacillota; Bacilli; Lactobacillales; Lactobacillaceae. The record is from RNAcentral.